CUAAAAAUGACACGUUAAAUGUUGUUGCAGAGGCGAUGGCAGUGCAGGCGAUCGAUUCCACGUCACUACACCCGCUCUCUAUCUCCAUGCCAUGGAAGAUCGCGGUCCUACUGGCGUGAGUACUCGCCUCCUCCCAAUAGAAAGCAUCACUCAAGGUCUAUUACACCUCACAGAAAUUGAGAAAAAGGCAAAGUCAUGUCAGGGACAGGUCUCCUCCACCUUGUAAUGGCUCAAGGAGCCCAUGCCCAGGUCC
Molecule: long non-coding RNA, 253 nt
Organism: Helianthus annuus (common sunflower)
Lineage: Eukaryota; Viridiplantae; Streptophyta; Magnoliopsida; Asterales; Asteraceae
Exons: 2
Source: RefSeq, a predicted model, not a curated record